GGGUUUCACUUUGCCUGAGAGAAUCCCUCGAUCCCCUCCUCUUCCCUGAGAGCUCCAGCUUCCUUUAGCAUCCUUCUCGACCUUAGGCAUCCUCCGGGUCGACUUCCAUCAUCCUUGCCAUCUUCCUGCACUCCUCGGGCCAACCUAGGUUAGUUUCGGAACUUCUUGUCAUUUUUCUAUUCUUUCUUCUUCGUAUUCCAUUCGUUUAGCUUCCUCGAGAGCUUGUUUGCUAUUUUUCCUAAUUUUUUUCGAUAUUUUUGUGGCUUCCAUUUGAUCCAAAAUAUCUUUCGAUAUCUCCUCUUCUAGCAGUUCUUGGAGUUCGUUAGCCCCAGUUCCCCAAAGUCCUUAUACCAUAGACAAACCCGUAGUUAGGACCGAACCUCAUCUGGUCUUUGUGCUGGACACCAUCCCUAGCUCUUUGACUCCGGAUGAACUCUCACUGAUAAGGAUUCAGUAUGGAGUUCCUCCGGAGUACGAGCUAGAGCUUCCCGGGCCAAC
This 498-nucleotide long non-coding RNA is filed under the name Elaeis guineensis (African oil palm). RNAcentral's name for it is "long non-coding RNA (EGUI_LNC068229)". The record is from RNAcentral. Lineage: Eukaryota; Viridiplantae; Streptophyta; Magnoliopsida; Arecales; Arecaceae.